CACUAAAAAUUUUUGUUAUUAAUGUUAUUAUUAUUAUUAAUUAUUAUUAUUGCAUUUUUGCUAACAAUUUCUGCAAAUAAUUUUUUCGUCAUACGAGUGUUUUAGUAUCUCCUCCAGCAAAUGAUGCAAAACAUUUGCGAAAGAUGGUUUGCAACAACAUCAAAACAAUUCUGUCGUAAGUGAUAUUUAAUAAUCAUGAGUAUGUCUUGAAUGUCCGUGAACCAAACAGAGUAUGAUAAUUAAAAUUUAUAAAUAAAAGAAAACAGAACCUAUUACUCCAGACAGUUUUGGAUAAAAUGGAACAAAAAUUAUGGAUGUGGAUAUGUGGUAUUCUUGUUCUUGUAACUAUAGGCAAUUGUGCAAGUCGUCAUGUUCAGCCUAAUAUCACAAAAUGUAUGUACUACAACCAAACUUUAUGUGAAAGUUCUCGAGGUACAUAUGGUUGUGGAAAUGUUACCCAAGAUUGUAUCUCUGCUGAUAAUGAUAAACCAUCAUAUUGUUAUACUGUUUGGACAAACACUACCAAUCAGUUAUCAAUAAAGCUUCAGGGAUGUUUUUUAAAUAACAUCGAAUGUCAUGGUCAAAAACAAUGCAAAGAUAAAAAAGAUGAAAUCAAACCUAAUGGUUUCUUUUUUUGUUGCUGUGAUGGAGACUAUUGUAAUUCUGAAUUUUUUUGGGACCCUAUUCCAACAACUCCUCGAACAGAAACAUCUGCAAAACCAAUGUAUGAUAAUAAUGAAUUAAUACACACUAUUGUAUUUUCUACUAUACCAUUAGUAGCUGUGGCCAGUAUGUUUUUAUUUGUUUAUUGGGUAUAUAAACGAAGAAAAAUUCCUCAUUUUUCUCAUUGGGUUCCAUCAUCUGAUAGCUCUCACUUAGGAAAUUGCUCUCCUAUACUUAGCAAUCGUCCUAUACAACUAGUAGAAGUAAAGGCUCGAGGUCGUUAUGGUGCUGUUUGGAAAGCCCUUCACAAGAAGGAUACAGUUGCUGUUAAAAUAUUCCCUCCUCAGGAUAAAAACUCGUGGUUGGUAGAACAAGAUAUUUAUCAACUACCUCACAUGCAACAUCAAAAUAUACUAUCAUUCAUUGGUGCUGAAAAACAUGCUAGUGUUAUUGAAGGUGCCAAAAAUGAGUACUGGUUAAUUACUGCUUACCAUGAUUAUGGAUCAUUAUGUGACUACUUAAAAUCAAAUAUAUUAACAUGGGAUCAACUUUGUCAUAUUGCCCAAUCCAUGGCCAGAGGUUUAAUGCAUUUGCAUGAAGAAAUUCCAUCAGAACGAUCAGAUCAAUAUAAACCUGCCAUUGCUCAUAGAGAUUUUAAAAGUAAUAAUGUUCUACUAAAACAUGAUUUAACUGCUUGUAUUGCUGAUUUUGGCCUUGCUUUGGUAUUUCAACCUGGCAAGUCAUGUGGUGAUACACAUGGACAGGUUGGCACAAGAAGAUAUAUGGCACCCGAAGUAUUAGAAGGAGCAAUUAAUUUUUCAAGAGAUGCAUUUUUAAGAAUAGAUAUGUAUGCAUGUGGCUUAGUACUAUGGGAAUUAGCAGCUAGAUGUACAGCACAACAAGGAGCUAUACCUGAUUAUAGGUUGCCUUUCGAAGAGGAAGUUGGGCAACAUCCAUCUUUAGAAGACAUGCAAGAAUGUGUAGUUCAUAAAAAACUAAGACCGGCUUUUAAAGACAGUUGGAAAUCACAUCCAGGUUUAAUUGCUUUAUGUGAUACUAUGGAAGAGUGUUGGGAUCAUGAUGCAGAAGCUAGAUUAUCAGCAUCUUGUGUAAUGGAACGCAUUACUUGGCAAUGUCGUCAACAGCUAUAUCAACAUUAGUGUCAUCAGUACCUUAAAAUAUUUUAACUGUAUUAUAAUUCAAUCCAACUCAUCAGUAACCUAGCUUCUGCAGGUUAGAAAAUUGCUGUUUCCUUUUGCUUAGUACAACUACAAGCAAAUGCCAAGACUGCUGCUUCAUACAAUAGUUGUUUACAUUAAAAAAUUAAAUCUGCACAUAAUUUUUUUAUUUACCACAUAAAUAUUGUACAUAGUAAAAGAGUAAA
This 2047-nucleotide unclassified non-coding RNA is filed under the name Sipha flava (yellow sugarcane aphid). RNAcentral's name for it is "activin receptor type-2A-like, transcript variant X3". Lineage: Eukaryota; Metazoa; Arthropoda; Insecta; Hemiptera; Aphididae. The record is from RNAcentral.